UACGGAGGAUGCAAGCGUUAUCCGGAAUGAUUGGGCGUAAAGCGUCCGCAGGUGGCUAUGUAAGUCUGCUGUUAAAGAGUGAGGCUCAACCUCAUAAGAGCAGUGGAAACUACAUGGCUAGAGUGCGUUCGGGGCAGAGGGAAUUCCUGGUGUAGCGGUGAAAUGCGUAGAUAUCAGGAAGAACACCGGUGGCGAAAGCGCUCUGCUAGGCCGCAACUGACACCGAGGGACGAAAGCUAGGGGAGCGAAUGGG
Molecule: ribosomal RNA, 253 nt
Filed under: uncultured bacterium
Lineage: Bacteria
Description: partial 16S ribosomal RNA
Rfam family: Bacterial small subunit ribosomal RNA
Source: RNAcentral